RNAcentral lists this ribosomal RNA (372 nucleotides) under Triticum aestivum (bread wheat). RNAcentral describes it as "partial small subunit ribosomal RNA". Lineage: Eukaryota; Viridiplantae; Streptophyta; Magnoliopsida; Poales; Poaceae. The record is from RNAcentral.
AUGGAGGAUGACAAGAAGGAGGGCAAGUACCGCGGCGUGCGGAAGCGGCCGUGGGGCAAGUUCGCGGCCGAGAUCCGGGACCCGGAGCGCGGCGGCUCCCGCGUCUGGCUCGGCACCUUCGACACCGCCGAGGAGGCCGCGCGCGCCUACGACCGUGCCGCAUUCGCGCAGAAGGGCGCCACCGCCAUCCUCAACUUCCCCGGCGAGGCUGGCAGGAUGAGUGGCGGGUCUUCUUCGUCGUCGGCCGCCGCCCAGGCGGCCGCGAGCAGGCGCGUCCCUGACACGGAGAAGGUGGAGCUGGAGUACCUCGACGACAGGGUCCUGGACGAGCUCCUCGCGGAGGACUACUACAGCAGCAGUAAGAAGAAGUAG